GGUGCCCUUUGCUAAUUCAAGAAACCCAAUCCUUAGCUCUGAUGCCAUGUGAAUAACUAUGUAUUUGCAAUUCAAGAAUUACACGGAAACAAGGAAGAGGGGAAAAAGUACAAAGUGCCCUUUCAUUCGUUGGUAUGUCUCAAACUUCAGCUUGAGUUUUUUUUUUCCUUCCUCAGCCACCUGAAGCUUUAUUAAAAGAAGAACAGGAAAGUUUCAGAUACAAAUGUUGCCUCUCCUCAGCGAGAACCAGGGGGAUCUAAAACAUAAAUUUUCAAUCUCAGUAAUAUAACACACAGAGCACUUCUACUUUUAUAGUAAAUUAAAUGGUCAUCACUUCUGGAUUUUUCAGAUGGGCAAUUGAAACCCCUGGUGAAUUGAAGAAUCCUCAAGGUCAACUAGAGAUCCUGUAACAGUAAUGAAACAUUUCCUAUCUUGUUCCAGAUCCUUCCAAAAGNGGAUACAGCUUCUGAUUACACAAGGUAGACCGCUCAACGAAGAGUGUGAGUCC
RNAcentral lists this long non-coding RNA (508 nucleotides) under Elaeis guineensis (African oil palm). RNAcentral describes it as "long non-coding RNA (EGUI_LNC058930)". Lineage: Eukaryota; Viridiplantae; Streptophyta; Magnoliopsida; Arecales; Arecaceae. The record is from RNAcentral.